Calidris pugnax (ruff) is the source of this 3841-nucleotide RNA transcript. It is a transcript of the gene named androgen receptor, with no coding region annotated. The transcript is spliced from 9 exons. NCBI's taxonomy places the organism in Eukaryota, Metazoa, Chordata, Aves, Charadriiformes, Scolopacidae. The record is from RefSeq and is a predicted model, not a curated record.
AUGGAGGUGCAGCUGGGGGUCGGCCGCGUCUACCCGCGGGCGGGCGGCAGGACCUUCCGUGGGGCUUUCCAGAGCUUCUUCCAGAGCGUCUGCGAGGCUUUCCAGGCGCCGCGGGAGGACCCGGGCACCAGCCAGCAGCCGCCCUGCCCGCCGAGCCCCCCCCCGCCGCCGGGUUCCCCCCCAUGCCUGCCGCCCCAGGAGCCCCGCGGCCCCGGUAAAACCCUCCCGACCGGCGGCCCCGCCAUGGGUUCCCCUUUUCCCUGCGCCGGGGAGCUGAGGGAGCUGCUGUGCGAAGCGGGAGCGUUGCCGUUGCUGCCGCCGCCCGAGGCCGAGCCGGCGGCCAAGGAGGACCCGUUGGGAGAUAGCGCCAAACAGCUCUGCAGGGCCGUGUCCGCCUCCAUGGGCCUGGCCCUGGAAGCUCUGGAAGCGCCGGGAGAACCGCUGCCCCGGGAGGACUGCAUGUUCGCCCUGCCCGCCGAGCCCCCCCGUGCCCCGCGCCCCCCCGGCGGGGACCCGCCGGAACCGCCGCCCGUCCCGGCCGCCUUCGCCGCCCCCGAGGCCGCCCUGACCGUCGAUCCGCCCGCCGCCGGACCGGGGCUCUACCGGGGUUCGCCGGGUCCCGCUUCUCGGCCGCCCCCCGCCUUCAGCCUGGCCCCGCCGCCCGCCCGCAUCAAGCUGGAGACCCCGCCGGGGCCGGUGGCGGGAGGCGGCUGGGGAGGACUGUGCCGCUACGGAACCGAGCUGGUCCCCCCGGGCUCCGCGCCCCCCUGGCCCACCUUUUUCGCCGAGGAAGGGCAGCUCUACGGGCCCUGCGCCGAGCCGCCCCCCGGGCCCUUCGGCUGCGGGCGCGGGGCGGCCGCCGAGACCGCCGACUUCCCCGCCGACGCCUGGUACCCGGCGGGGCGGGCUCCCUUCGCCGCCCCCGCCGCCUGCAUCAAGAGCGAGCUGGGACCCUGGGCCGAGGGCUACGCCGGCGCCUACAGCGAGGUCCGGUUGGAGACUGGCCAUGAACAUGUCUUGCCCAUUGACUAUUACUUUCCACCUCAGAAGACUUGCCUGAUCUGUGGAGAUGAAGCGUCUGGGUGCCACUACGGAGCCCUCACUUGUGGUAGCUGCAAAGUCUUCUUCAAACGAGCGGCUGAAGGUAAACAGAAAUACCUCUGUGCCAGCCGGAACGACUGCACCAUCGACAAGUUCAGAAGGAAAAACUGCCCGUCCUGCCGCCUGCGGAAGUGCUAUGAGGCUGGGAUGACUCUUGGAGCUCGCAAGCUGAAGAAGCUGGGUAACCUGAAGACACAAGACGACACUGAUGGAGCCAGCUUAUCCAGCCCCACAGAAGAGCAAGCUCCCAAGAUGGUGAUGACGCGCAUUGAUGGCUAUGAGUGCCAGCCCAUCUUCCUCAACGUCCUAGAGGCCAUCGAGCCUGGCGUGGUGUGUGCCGGCCAUGACAACAGCCAGCCGGACUCCUUCUCCAACCUGCUGACCAGCCUGAAUGAGCUCGGGGAGAGGCAGCUGGUCUACGUGGUCAAAUGGGCAAAGGCUUUGCCAGGAUUUCGCAACCUGCAUGUGGAUGACCAGAUGUCAAUAAUCCAAUACUCUUGGAUGGGCCUCAUGGUUUUUGCUAUGGGUUGGAGAUCUUUCACCAACGUCAAUUCCAGGAUGCUUUACUUCGCUCCAGAUCUGGUCUUCAAUGAGUACCGGAUGCACAAAUCCAGGAUGUACAGCCAAUGCGUCAGGAUGCGGCACCUCUCUCAGGAGUUCGGGUGGCUUCAGAUCACACCCCAGGAGUUUCUCUGUAUGAAGGCUCUACUCUUCUUCAGUAUUAUUCCAGUGGAUGGCCUGAAGAACCAGAAGCUCUUUGAUGAACUUCGAAUGAACUACAUUAAGGAACUUGACCGUAUCAUCGCUUGCAAGAGGAAGAACCCUACCUCCUGCUCUCGGCGAUUUUACCAGCUCACCAAGGUCCUGGACUCCGUGCAUCCUAUUGCCAAGGAUCUGCAUCAGUUUACAUUUGACCUUUUAAUAAAGGCGCAUAUGGUGAGCGUGGACUACCCUGAAAUGAUGGCCGAGAUCAUCUCUGUGCAGGUUCCCAAGAUCCUGUCUGGAAAAGUCAAGCCUAUCUACUUCCACGCGCAGUGAUCUUCUGGAAGGGACCUUCCCAGUUCUGCCACCCCCAUUUCAGCCAUCUCCUGCCUGUUAUUUCUGCACUACUGUACUGCAGUGCCUUGGGGAAUCCCCUCUACGGAGGCCGAGAAGACGGGACGGUAACGAGGGACUACCCGCUGGGAUUCCUGACGUUUCUAUUUUUCCUGAGAACAAGACGAGAAGCCGGUUGAGCCUAUAAGUUUGAGCGUGGGUAACUUUACUGGCCUCCUCCGGGACUUUUUAUUUGCAUUAUGGUGCUGGGAAGCAGAUGAGUUAAAAUAUGGCAGUAGAGAAGCCGCGAAGAGUUGGGGGAAGAGAUGAAUUUGCAGCUUGAUGGAUUGCUGGGACACAAAGGUGCUGUGGGGUCUGCCCGGACACCACCCUGCUGCCAUCCUGCCUGCCCAGCAGCGUGGAGGAGCGUCCAUAUGUGCUGGUGGACUCUUACAGGGUUGUCAGCAGAAGAGCUGGAGGGAUAGGUGACCUUUGGAAAUCUCCAGAGAUGGCGGAUGGCUGCUGUUUUUCCAUCUGGGAUGUUUUUCCUGCAGCCAGUCAAAGCUGGAUCUCGGUCUGCCCUGGGGCCACCCGGGCGCUCAGCAGUCACAUUCCCGUCCUCGGCAGCUGCUGCUCCUCCAACACGGCCGUACCCACCUCCGCAAGUGCCUGAUGUCCUCAGACCUCACACUCUCCCCUCCUCCCGUGGGCACCCCGAGGCCCCUGCCCAACCCUUCACCAGCUCUGCUCCCGUGAGGUGUCCCCGGACACCGGGUUUCCAGCUACACUACAUAUUGCCCGUUUGUCCCAACUAUUCUUUCCGAUGCCAGCAUCAAGUGUCCCAGGAGCAAAGCAGCGGGGCUGGGAUCUGCAGGACCUGUGAGGCCAUGGGACUGUUGUCCCAAAACGGGUUCGUUUACCCCAUGUGCAGGACGCCAGCAUAUCCAGGACUCUUGCUGCUACUCCUGUCCUUUGAGAGAUGGCUGUGGUGACUUGGCUGGUGCUGCCAUGAUGGUUCAGGGGGUUGGAAAGGAAACACUGAAGAGACCUUCUGCCUUUCUAAGCACUUCUUGCUAAUUGCAGUGCUUGAUUGCAGGCCAGGGGGACACGAUCCUACAUGCACCACCUGUCCCCAGCAGCUCCAGGUGGCAUGGUGGUGGCACUGGUGACAAGGUGGUGGUACAGCCUCGUGGCUGAUGCAGGACAGGCUGUAGCUCUGCCUGAGGAUGGAUAAACGUGCCCUGGCAAACAGGGGCACUCAGUCCACAGCCACCAAACAGCAGCGGUCAGUGGGUCCGCAGCUGCUGGUGGGUCCCAGCAGUCAGGAACAUCUGGGAAAAGCAGGUUGUUUUUUCAGGCAUAAGCAUUGGCUUGACUCUGUGUCAUACCUCAAGUUCAGAAGGAAACACAGGCCUACCCAACACCUGUAUUCAGAUCUGUUUAUUUGGUGGGCUCUGCUUCCCACAAAGUGGCCAAGCCUGCAUUCCCCAUGGUGUUUCGGUUCCCCCCUUCCCUCACAGUCGUGAGCCCACCAAAACCACCAAAAAGACCUGACCAGGGGUUGUUGGCAGGCAUGGCACUUACAGGCUUUUGCCAAGGUAAUCACAGAAUGACAUGGGGUUGGAAGGGGACCUCUGGAGAUCAUCCAGUCCAACCCCCUGCCAAAGCAGGUUGACCCAGAGCAGGUUGCACAGGAACGUGUCCA